GCGGUAAUACUCCUACGGGAGGCAGCAGUGGGGAAUAUUGCACAAUGGGCGCAAGCCUGAUGCAGCCAUGCCGCGUGUAUGAAGAAGGCCUUCGGGUUGUAAAGUACUUUCAGCCGGGAGGAAGGAGAUUCCGUUAGUAGCCAGCAGCCGCGGUAUCUGGCG
This 162-nucleotide ribosomal RNA is filed under the name uncultured Pantoea sp. RNAcentral describes it as "partial 16S ribosomal RNA". It matches the Rfam family "Bacterial small subunit ribosomal RNA", at positions 327 to 529 of the family's 1533-position model. Lineage: Bacteria; Pseudomonadati; Pseudomonadota; Gammaproteobacteria; Enterobacterales; Erwiniaceae. The record is from RNAcentral.